UACGUAGGUCCCGAGCGUUGUCCGGAUUUAUUGGGCGUAUAGCGAGCGCAGGUGGUUUAUUAAGUCUGGUGUAAAAGGCAGUGGCUCAACCAUGGUAUGCAUUGGAAACUGGUAGACUUGAGUGCAGGAGAGGAGAGUGGAAUUCCAUGUGUAGCGGUGAAAUGCGUAGAUAUAUGGAGGAACACCGGUGGCGAAAGCGGCUCUCUGGCCUGUAACUGACACUGAGGCUCGAAAGCGUGGGGAGCAAACAGG
RNAcentral lists this ribosomal RNA (252 nucleotides) under uncultured bacterium. RNAcentral describes it as "partial 16S ribosomal RNA". It matches the Rfam family "Bacterial small subunit ribosomal RNA", at positions 524 to 776 of the family's 1533-position model. The record is from RNAcentral.